RNA transcript from Daucus carota subsp. sativus, 3279 nucleotides. It is a transcript of the gene named ceramide kinase, with no coding region annotated. NCBI's taxonomy places the organism in Eukaryota, Viridiplantae, Streptophyta, Magnoliopsida, Apiales, Apiaceae. The record is from RefSeq and is a predicted model, not a curated record. The transcript has 14 exons.
AGUUAUAUCUCAGCGACUCAGCCCAUCUGGAACUUGAGGUUUUUUAAUUUCUAAGAGCCCAUUAAAUAUUUUCAUGGAGAGACACGAAGACGAAGAUUCAAGAAUUCUAAAUUCUAAUUUUGAUUUGGAUCAUGUUGGUGAGGUUUCUCUUACCCUAAAUUCUGAUGAGCUUUCUUGGAUCAAGGUUGAUUCUUUCAAUAAAAAUAAUGACACUGGAUCAUCUUGUUUGGGCAAACAGUUAGUUUCCAGAAGGAGUACUACAAUCAAAUUUUCUGAUGCAUAUGCGGUUGAGUUCAUUGAUUGGGGUGUGAUUCAUGAACCUGUUCUUGGAAAUGCCCCUGGUCGCCUUCUCGGCCGUGCAUCUGAGAUGUUUCGCUUCACAGUACACUGUUUCCGGAGAUCCAAGACUCAGCCUUCCCUCUGGAAAACGUCUAUUUAUACUUUCGGUCACAAGGAUCUAGGAACAUGUCAUUUAUGGGUGACUCGCAUCAAUUUCUCUCUGAACAUGGAAGUAGGGCGACCUAAAAGUCUUUUGGUGUUUGUUCAUCCGAGGAGUGGAAAAGGAAAUGGUUGUCGUAUUUGGGAUGAGGUGGCUCCUAUAUUUCGUCUCGCUCAAGUACGAACAAAGGUGCUUGUGACUCACAGGGCAGGACAAGCUUUAGAUGCAAUGUCUGCUAUUUCAAACAGGGUGCUUAAUUCUUAUGAUGGUGUUCUCGCUGUUGGUGGUGAUGGCUUUUUCAAUGAAAUUCUUAAUGGCCUUCUCUUGUCAAGGCAUAAGGCAACUUAUCCCCCAUCACCUACUGAAUUUAGUCACUCAGUUAAUAAAGAUGACAAUAACUUGGUUUAUUUGAAAGAAACUCAUGUUGGAACUUCUGAGCAAAAUGAAGGAAGUUCUCAUCUUUUGUCAAUACCAGAAACUAUUAAAUCACAAACAAAAAAUCAUAGACCAGAAGAUGAUAUAUGUAAUUCUGCAGAUCAAGAAGGCAACUUUCAUUUCCCAAAUGAAAGGUUUAGAUUUGGACUUAUCCCUGCAGGUUCAACUGAUGCUAUCGUGAUGUGUACCACCGGAGCCCGAGAUCCAACAACAUCAGCAUUACAUAUUGUCCUCGGUAAAAGGAUUAGCCUUGACAUUGCUCAGAUUGUGCGGUGGAAAGCUACCUUUACAUCUAAGGAAGAGAUUUCUGUGCGUUAUGCAGCUUCUUUUGCUGGGUACGGAUUCUACGGUGAUGUCAUUACAGAGAGUGAAAAAUACCGGUGGAUGGGCCCCAAGAGAUAUGAUUAUGCAGGGACAAAAGUGUUUCUUAAACACAGUGCAUAUGAAGCAGAGGUGACAUAUGUGGAAGACAUAAUAGAUGAUAAUAUUAGUGCUGGUAGCAGAACAAAACCAUUUUUGGGACCACCUAAAAAGUCAGAAAGAGUUGCUUGUCGUGUUAAAUGUGGUGUUUGCAAUACGAAGCCGGUCCAAAUAUCAGCUGAGCCAAACUUACAUGAAUCAAAAUGGUUAAGGUCUAGAGGUAAAUUUCUUAGCGUCGGUGCUGCUGUAAUAGCUUGCCGUAAUGAGAAGGCACCUGAUGGUUUGGUAGCUGAUGCACACCUUUCAGAUGGUUUCCUUCACCUCAUAUUGAUCAAGGAUUGCCCCAGAGCAUUAUAUCUGUGGCAUCUAACUCAGCUUGCAAGGAAGGGUGGACAUCCGCUAAAGUUUGACUUUGUGGAGCACCACAAAACCAGGGCUUUUACAUUCAGAUCUAUUGGCAAAGAGAGUGUGUGGAACGUGGACGGCGAGCUCUUUUCCGCCCAUCAACUUUCAGCGCAAGUAUUCAGAGGCCUGGUUAGCUUAUUUGCUGCUGGCCCUGAGGUUUAACUUAAACCCUCAAGACAUGACAUUCAUAAAAAUAGCUAUGUUAUCCACUUCAGGUAUCUCCAGUACCAAGAAAGAGCCAUCUUCUUCUUCUUCUUGUCCUCUCCUCACAAGUGAUAGUAUAUUGAACCUGUAAUCAUAGCUGCCAUUUGUGAUUGUAUCCGUAUAUAUAGUAGAAAUUGCAGAUAGAUCAACAUGAUACUUUACAAACCACCCUGAGUAAUCUCUAGCCAUCUCAUACACAUUGAACAAACAAGUGGAAUCAGAAUACACAUCAAUCAGAUGCCAAUGACCCUGAGACUCGCCGAGAUAAGUAGCUACCUGCUCAGGCAAGUCCUGGUCAGGCAUUACAACUGCCUGAAUGUUCUUCCUGGUCAUCGGCAGUUGUUCUACUCUCUCUUCCUCCACUUUGAAGUACAGAGUGUACUGUUCAUCGUUCCAAAGACUGACAAAGCCAUUCCACCAGUGAACACAACCAUUCCAAUAUAUACAAUUUUCGAAUUUGGUAAACUGUGGUGCUUUAAAAGGCUGACCAGAGACUCUCCAUAGUCGAGUUUCAUAUGAAUAAAUCUCAAUCUGAAAAGGAUUGUCGGACGUUUUAGAUUGUCUGACACAAACAACUUUGUAGUAAGGCGAUCUUGCAGGAUCAAACGCUAGACUCAUACCGCAUACAUUUUUGAGUGUUCUUGUUUGAUUUGAAGAAGGGUAGCGAAAUGCUUAGUGGUAGGGUUGUACACAUAGUAUCUACGGUUUAAUAUACGUGCUCGAUAGCUAGCACAUAGCAGGAGCCCGUUGCAAGACUGAAGAACAGAUAUGCCUGAACGUAAAGGGUCGUGAACGAAAUCAAGACUUUUGAAGGGGGUCGGGCAAUCAUCACUGACGUCGAGAGGAAUGAACUGGUAGUCGGGGGUGCUUCUGCAGGAGGAACGGAUGAAGAAGAGGGCAGAGGCGGAGGGGAGAGGAUUGUGAAGACGAACAAAGCGUGGAUUAGUAAUGAGAGAGUACCAGUGCUUGGAUACAGAUUUGAAACUCAGCAGUUUCUUUAUAGGGACAUGUAGCAGAAUCUGGAUCAAGAGAUCUUCACUUGACGCAACUUUGACAGCAGAAGCUAUUACAGAAGAAGAUUCAGGGCCAGGAUCGUGCAAUGAAACAGGAGAAAGCUGUUGAGAUGUUCUGCUUUUUUUGGCUCCCAGCUUAAUCAUAUUGAAUUCUAAUAUUGUGUAAGGCUGAUUUGUGAUAGAGCGACGAGGUCCACAUUAUAUACACAAACUGGCCUGAAUUAUUUAUUGACAUUAGAUCGCCAAUCAACAACCGUGGGAGGAUUCCUGAACAAUCUUAUGCUGGUUGACUUAUAAUAAUCUCUCUGUCCCAUUUUAUACGAGCUGAUUUGAAUAACAUAUUUUAAGAAAAUUAAUGUAUGA